Molecule: long non-coding RNA, 1244 nt
Organism: Oxyura jamaicensis (ruddy duck)
Lineage: Eukaryota; Metazoa; Chordata; Aves; Anseriformes; Anatidae
Exons: 3
Source: RefSeq, a predicted model, not a curated record
AAAAAAAAAAAAGGAUGAUAAACACGCCGUGGUUUCAGGACACGACUGAAAAAUCCCAUCUCUGCACUUGUAAAGAGCCGCUUCGCGCUGAGUGCUUUCUGGAAAGUGAAGGCACUCUCGGCAGAGUGAUGGCACAGCAAGGCCUCCCAGCAGCCAAGGUCCCUGUCCCCAAGGCGCUGCCACAGGGGACAGGCACAAGCGUAACCAGUGCACGAGCCAGCUCUGCGCAUGAGAAAAUCAGCCUAAACAUUAACAGGCAACGGGCAAGGAGCAGGAUUUGAGUCAGCUCACGAGCAGGUGGCUGAGGCACUGCCUGCUCAAAGAAAGGAAAUUCGGUUACUUCGUGCUUCCUUUCCGAAACACAUUGUGUGCAUUAGGACUGCAGAGCGCUGAGCGGCCGUUUCCGUAACAUCCCGUGCACUCAAUUCCCUGGGCGAGGGCCCGGUGGCCCUGCGCUGCUUUCUGCAAUUCACCAGAUGCUCCAAAAAGAAAGCGGAAGAGGUGUCCUCUGUGCCUGGCAGGGCACGGUGCCGGUCGGAGUGCGCUGCGGCAGCCCCGGAGCUCCCCACACACGGGAGCCAUGAGGAUGGGAAAAAAUUCCCACUGCUUCAGCACAAGCCAGCAGGCAUUUGUGUACAGAAAAUAAAGAGGGGAUAGUGUAAACACAGCCAAAAUACUGAUUUCAGGUGGUCAAGAUGCCUUUAAAGAUUGGAAUUCUGCGUUCCAAAUUCAAACGCCAUUUACACCAUGCAGAACCAGCGCAGAAGGAGGGGCUGAGCGCCAGCAACCACCCUACUGUUAGCCCCAGCAGGGCUGAGCUGGCCCCAAGUAGUGGCUUCUUUCAGCAGCACCUCACUCAGCCUGUCCCCUCUGAACCUUCUGCUUCCCUGGGGACAGAUACCAGAGGCUGAGGAUAGGCAGGCCAGGGGUGCAAAGACACAAUGGUGGGGCUGCGCCGCAGCCGAGGAUGGCAGCAAAGUGUAACCAAACGUGGCCUCGGCGCACCCUGGCUCAUCUCCCCACCUUUUCAAGAAGCUCAGCUCAGGCUCACGUCUGAAUUAUUUGUUGUCAUCAAACUCACAUAACUCAGUAUAAGCAACAGCUCUUUCAAGUGCAGUGUGUUUGCACUGAGCAGCAGGAAGAAACAUCCCAAAGUCUGAAAUAGAUGCGUAAACGUUUCUGUCUGCUCCCUAAUGCUCGUGUCUCCAGGUGUGAACUCACCGCUUGUUUGUCAUGGACUGUUU